AAUGGCUCAUUAAAUCACACCUCAUGCCCUGGAUAGUGUCAGUUACUUGGAUAUCUGCGGUAAUUCUGGAGCUAAUACAUGCUGCGCAGCCCCGAACUUGUCGUGAGGGGCGCUUUUAUUAGAUCAAGACCAAACGACCUCGGUCGUCCCCCUGGUGACUCUGAAUAACUUUUCGCUGAUCGCACGGCUUCACGCCGGCGACGCGUCUUUCCAAGGUGUGCCCUAUCAACUGUCGACUGUGGCAUAGACGCCCACAGUGGUUUUGACGGGUAACGGGGAAUCAGGGUUCGAUUCCGGAGAGGGAGCCUGAGAGACGGCUACCACUUCUAAGGAAGGCAGCAGGCACGCAAAUUACCCACUGGUCGAAGACCGAGGUAGUGACGAAAAAUAACGAUACCGGACUCAUCCGAGGCCCGGUAAUCGGAAUGAGUACACUUUAAAUCCUUUAACGAGGAACAAUUGGAGGGCAAGUCUGGUGCCAGCAGCCGCGGUAAUUCCAGCUCCAAUAGCGUAUAUUAAAGUUGUUGCGGUUAAAAAGCUCGUAGUUGGAUCUCGGCGGGCAGGGGGCGGUUCGUU
RNAcentral lists this ribosomal RNA (576 nucleotides) under uncultured eukaryote. RNAcentral's name for it is "SSU rRNA". It matches the Rfam family "Eukaryotic small subunit ribosomal RNA", at positions 92 to 664 of the family's 1831-position model. The record is from RNAcentral.